RNAcentral lists this ribosomal RNA (442 nucleotides) under uncultured Eubacteriales bacterium. Its description in RNAcentral is "bacterial SSU rRNA". It matches the Rfam family "Bacterial small subunit ribosomal RNA", at positions 338 to 795 of the family's 1533-position model. The record is from RNAcentral. Lineage: Bacteria; Bacillati; Bacillota; Clostridia; Eubacteriales.
CCUACGGGGGGCAGCAGUGGGGAAUAUUGCACAAUGGGCGAAAGCCUGAUGCAGCAACGCCGCGUGAGCGAUGAAGGCCUUCGGGUCGUAAAGCUCUGUCCUUGGGGAAGAAACAAAUGACGGUACCCAAGGAGGAAGCCCCGGCUAACUACGUGCCAGCAGCCGCGGUAAUACGUAGGGGGCAAGCGUUAUCCGGAAUUAUUGGGCGUAAAGAGUACGUAGGUGGUCUUUUAAGCGCAGGGUUUAAGGCAAUGGCUUAACCAUUGUUCGCCCUGUGAACUGGAAGACUUGAGUGUAGGAGAGGAAAGUGGAAUUCCUAGUGUAGCGGUGAAAUGCGUAGAUAUUAGGAGGAACAUCAGUGGCGAAGGCGACUUUCUGGACUAUUACUGACACUGAGGUACGAAAGCGUGGGGAGCAAACAGGAUUAGAUACCCCAGUAGUC